This 59-nucleotide microRNA precursor is filed under the name Rattus norvegicus (Norway rat). Its description in RNAcentral is "Rno-Mir-188-P1_pre stem-loop". The record is from RNAcentral. Lineage: Eukaryota; Metazoa; Chordata; Mammalia; Rodentia; Muridae.
CAUGCCUUGAGUGUAGGACUGUUGACAUCUUAAUUACCCUCCCACACCCAAGGCUUGCA